RNAcentral lists this ribosomal RNA (492 nucleotides) under uncultured bacterium. Its description in RNAcentral is "partial 16S ribosomal RNA". It matches the Rfam family "Bacterial small subunit ribosomal RNA", at positions 28 to 507 of the family's 1533-position model. The record is from RNAcentral.
AUUGAACGCUGGCGGCAUGCUUUACACAUGCAAGUCGAACGGUAACAGGCCUCCGGGUGCUGAUGCGCGGCGGACGGGCGGGUAAUGCAUCGGUACGUACCCAGCGGUGGGGGUUAAGGCAACGACAGCUGUGCUCGUCCCGCAUGUGAUCUGAGCAUGAGAGCGGGGGAGCGAGCAGCAAUGUUUCGCCUCGCGCCUUUGGAGCGGCCGAUGUCGGAGUAGCUGGUGGGUGGGGUAAAGGCCUACGUAGGCGACGAUCCGUAGCUGGUCGGAGAGGACGAUCAGCCACACGAGAACGGAGACACGCACCAGACUCCUGCGGGAGGGAGCAGUGGGGAAUGGUGGACAAUGGGCGCAAGUCUGACCCAGCAAGGCCGCGUGUGGGAAGAAGGCCUUCGGGUUGUAAAGCGCUUUUUGCAGGAAUGAAACGGUUUCCGCUAAGACCGGGCGUUAGUGACGGUACCUGCAGAAGAAGCACCGGCUAACUACGUG